GUUUUACAGUGCCAUAAGUCCCCAUACCCAUUGCAAACUUGUUUGCAAGAGGGAAUGGGACUUGAUGGCACGCCCCUGCAUGAGCACGAAGAGACGAAAGUCUCGAGAGUGCGAAUGCAGGCAGGAAUCGAAAAAGCGCGAAGCGCUGACGAUUCCGUAAAGG
RNAcentral lists this small RNA (163 nucleotides) under Oribacterium parvum ACB1. Its description in RNAcentral is "Oribacterium sp. ACB1 Clostridiales-1 RNA". It matches the Rfam family "Clostridiales-1 RNA". The record is from Rfam by way of RNAcentral. Lineage: Bacteria; Bacillati; Bacillota; Clostridia; Lachnospirales; Lachnospiraceae.